This 253-nucleotide ribosomal RNA is filed under the name uncultured bacterium. Its description in RNAcentral is "partial 16S ribosomal RNA". It matches the Rfam family "Bacterial small subunit ribosomal RNA", at positions 524 to 776 of the family's 1533-position model. The record is from RNAcentral.
UACGGAGGAUGCAAGCGUUAUCCGGAAUGAUUGGGCGUAAAGCGUCCGCAGGUGGCUAUGUAAGUCUGCUGUUAAAGAGUGAGGCUCAACCUCAUAAGAGCAGUGGAAACUACAUAGCUAGAGUGCGUUCGGGGCAGAGGGAAUUCCUGGUGUAGCGGUGAAAUGCGUAGAGAUCAGGAAGAACACCGGUGGCGAAGGCGCUCUGCUAGGCCGCAACUGACACUGAGGGACGAAAGCUAGGGGAGCGAAUGGG